UCGCUUCAUCUAAUGUAAACUUAAAUUGCUUGUAGUUUAAUAAAUAGUCUCGAUCAAUUUUUAAAUCUAUUUUGAUCUCUAAAUUCUCAAAAAAUGCUCAAAUAUAAAAAAUAUUUUACAAAAAAACAUAAUAAUAUUAUAUAAAAUUAAAAUUAUUUUAUUUUAUAAAAAAAUAAUAAAUAUAAUAUAAUAUAAUAUUAAUAAUAUUGAAAAUAAAGUAUUCUUCUUUUUAUAAAGAACUAUAUUCAGAAGAAAGAAAUAGUUUUUCUCUUGUAUAAACUUACGAAAUUUGAUCUUCAAAGAAAAAAUAAAUAUGUAUUAUCUAUAGACUGGUAAUAUUUCACAAAAUAAAAUUGCAAAACCAUUCCUAGGAAAAAUUUGCGCACAACAGAUAUGAUAUUAAAUAUAAUAUUAAAGAUUACCUUGAGUAAUAUUUCGCCAUUACAGUAAAUUAGAAACAGAAUGAAUUUGAAAUAAAAUAAAAUAUGUAUUAGAAAGUUAAAAUAUUUUCAUAAACUAUAUAUUAUUUAUAAAUAUUAUUUCUUUUUAAUAUCUCCUUUUAAUAUCUAAAUUACAAUAAAUACUACUUCUUGGAGAAAUUUCAUUAAAAAAAUUUUGUUUUUAUAUUUCAUGUAGUGAAAAUUGAAAAAAACAUAAACUAUGUUGUGAAUACGAAUGAAAGUAGAACAUCGAUUAUUCUAACUAAUUGAACAACAAAUUUUUCAAAUAAUCAGUCAAAAAGAACUAAAUUUAUCAUAAAAAACUAAAAAUUAUAAUUUUCAAAUAUGAAUAUUUAUUAUAUCUACAUAAUAGAAGAAAUUUAUAAAAAAAAUGAAUUAUUUUUAAAUAACAUCUUAGAAUACAUAUUCAAGAAUAUAAACUAUACCUAUUUUAAAUAAAUACUUAUUCGGUGAUUGAUUAUUGUUUUUAUUCAAAUCUAAUUUUUCAAUAUUUAAAUUUUGAUUUUUUAUUACAAUAGUGAAAAACAUUGGCAUUUCUAAUAUAUCAUAUUUUAGAUUACACACUUACAUCAAUAUUAAAAAAAAAAUUAAUAUUUUUUAAAAUACAUAAUAACUCUUCAUAUAACCAAUUCAUCUAUUCAAAAAAACCUUAUCUAUUUUUUUCACUUCUCAAGUAAAAUCUAUUUCCUUUACAAAACAGCAAAAAAGAAUUCCUAUUUUCUAGAAAUAUUCAGUUUUUAGUCGACACUUUAACCGCUUAACUGACGUAAUUUUGAUUUCGUUACGCGAUGAAUGAUAGAUCUAUUAUUGAUGUCGAGAAGAGGUUAGGUUAGGAGUAGACGAGGAAUAAAAUUAUGCGGUAGUCAAUGAUUGUUUCGUCUCGCGUGAAUUCAUCAACGACGUCUUACGUUCCGUCCUCCUUCACCGUGUAAUCAGAAUCGAACCAUUCUUAGAUUUUUUCUUUUCCCCCUUUCUUCACUUCCUGAAUCUGUGUUGCAACAUUUCUGGUAUUUCCGCCCCGUUGACUGCGAUGACACCAAAAUCACCGACAGAACGAAACGUGCAAUUAUGCAGCCGACGCGCAACAACGGAAGAAGGAAACGAUGUCCCAAUAUCCUGAUGACCUACUGUUGAAUCGUUUUGACGUCAUCAAUAGAAGACUGGGUCACGAAAUUCGAUGAUUUAUGAACCGAGUCGAACUGCAGAUCACCGUUUUAACACGUAUGAUCUUUUUUCUCGAACAAAAAUUAUAUUUGGAAUUACUUUUUUUUAUCAAUUUUUUUUUAAUUUUAUCGUUAAUAUGAAAUUAAUAUUUCAAUAUUCCGUUUUGAAUUCGAAAAAUUUUUUAAUUCUAACCUAACUAUCUUUUAAUCUCGUAAUAAAAUUGCACAAAAAAAUUAAAUAUUUACGUUUUAUAUACAACGUAUAUAAAUUUAAAGUCAAAACAAUUAGAAUAACGAACAAAAACUUCGAAUUUCAAAUAUCUUCCAAAUUGUUUGAUAAUUAUUGAUCAUUUUAACUAAGAAAGAUUCUAAAAUUUCACGAAGAGAAAUUAAAUGUAUAUGAAAGAAAGCAUUUAAUCGCAAAAUUCGAAAAAAAGGUCAGAUCCGGCAUGAGUCAGUUGACAAACCUGAUUCUCGUCAAGUCAAGAGGAAACAACGUGACGGUUGCAUUAGAGAAAUUAAAUUUACAAUAGGCCUAGGAACACAAUUUGAAAUGGUGUGAGUCGUCGAGAAUCGAGAAUGAACGAAGACAAUUGUGACUAUUUUGUGUCCGAAAUAUACGCGUCGAGCAAAGAGACCGCUUUUGCACACUUUAAAAGUAGGUUGUUACUGAAAAAGAAAGCGUUUGCGAAUUAAAAUUCGCUCGGAUCAUUUUCAUUGUUUUGAUAUGUAGAAUGGAUUCUGCGUGAAAACAAAUCGAAUUAAUUAUAAAAGAAAGCGAUUAAUGAAAGAGGUCUUACGAGGGCGUGAGAUUUUCCUUAGGAAAUUUCUUCCUUGCUUUCGAUAUUAUUGAUAAUUCCUUAUUUCUUAAAGUUCUGUUGAUGUAUCGUAAUGAAAGUCUGAUAAUUAAUUGUGAAUGAAUGUAAAGGAAAUUUUAUAUCUAAAAAAAGAAAAUUAUG
Apis cerana (Asiatic honeybee) is the source of this 2583-nucleotide long non-coding RNA. RefSeq lists it as uncharacterized. Lineage: Eukaryota; Metazoa; Arthropoda; Insecta; Hymenoptera; Apidae. The record is from RefSeq and is a predicted model, not a curated record.